CGCACGGGUGAGUAACGCGUAUCCAACCUGCCGUCUACUCUUGGACAGCCUUCUGAAAGGAAGAUUAAUACAAGAUGGCAUCAUGAGUCCACAUGUUCACAUGAUUAAAGGUAUUCCGGUAGACGAUGGGGAUGCGUUCCAUUAGAUAGUAGGCGGGGUAACGGCCCACCUAGUCUUCGAUGGAUAGGGGUUCUGAGAGGAAGGUCCCCCACAUUGGAACUGAGACACGGUCCAA
RNAcentral lists this ribosomal RNA (235 nucleotides) under uncultured bacterium. Its description in RNAcentral is "partial 16S ribosomal RNA". It matches the Rfam family "Bacterial small subunit ribosomal RNA", at positions 99 to 334 of the family's 1533-position model. The record is from RNAcentral.